UGGAUGUUGGAUAUAUAUGCAUACCUUGUGUUAUUGCACCUCACUUUACUGAGCUUCACAGAUACUGCACUUUUUACAAGACCCUCCAC
Ceratotherium simum simum (southern white rhinoceros) is the source of this 89-nucleotide non-coding RNA. The record is from RefSeq and is a predicted model, not a curated record. Lineage: Eukaryota; Metazoa; Chordata; Mammalia; Perissodactyla; Rhinocerotidae.